Molecule: ribosomal RNA, 1749 nt
Filed under: Triticum aestivum (bread wheat)
Lineage: Eukaryota; Viridiplantae; Streptophyta; Magnoliopsida; Poales; Poaceae
Description: partial small subunit ribosomal RNA
Source: RNAcentral
UUUUUUUCCUUUUUUCUUCUGUUGUGUCGCCUAGUUGUGCGGCAGAUAAGGAAGUACCCCUCCGUUGAGGGGACGACUCGGUGGCGGAGGAGAGGGGAAGGGAGUGUCGUGGAAAAGAGGCGGCAGAAGGAACGCGGAAACUGUCAGCACGGGCCUCCUCCAGCAGUGGCCGCGGGCGUAGGAGCCGAGGGCGGCGGCUAAACGGGGCGUCUGGAAGGGAAGAAGGGGAUGACGGCGAUCGCCGCUGGGGUUCACGCUGGCAGCUAACCGCCCGCUCCUUCUCCUGGCGCGGGUUUAGCGGAGGUAACACUAAGCGCAGGUGGAGGUUGCUGGCCGUCCUGGGCACUAUACCGCUGAGGGUCCCGCGACGGCCUCCCAGGCUGCUCCUUUAGCUGGGCUCCUGCUGAAGAUGGAGUUGAAGCACCUAACCAGAAGCUUGUUACGGGAGAGCCAGCCUAACCCCUUAACGUAGAUAGCCACCUUACGUUGUCGUUCCAAGCUAAACGUAGUUUGGUUGUCUCAUUUGAAUAAAGACGCCGUCACCUUCCUAAUUACACACAGAAGCUGUGUAUAUCACUACCGGUGGCGUUGCCGCCCGUCGUACCGCUAGUUGUGACUCAGCAACUGGUAUUGGUUCCACCCGCUUUCGCCUUCCGGUACCUCGACCGCGUCCAGCAGUGGUUGCGGGAGAAGAGCGACGGCCGGUGGUUCCCGAUACUGCCGGGGCAGCAGACGGAGGCCGCCGGGUGGCUAGCGGAUGGGCCGCUCUUCGUAUAUAGUUCCUCUUCUGCACGCAGUAACGCGGUAGCUGUCCUUCUCCGACAACACAAACACAGCUUAUAAAAGAUGAUCAACCCAAUGCAAACCUGAACCACAACAUCACACCCAUCCUAUGCACAUCACUACGCCUCGUAGGAUACCUGUAGUGGUACAGUUCUCAGGCAAGCCGCUCACUGUGCCCGCCGUAGAUGAAGUGUAUGGGUUUCCACUUAGUAGAGGAAAUGUGCACAAGUGAACUGUGGAAGCUCCUACCAUAUGAUGAACUGUGAGGUGAGUACACAUACGUAUCCAUAACAGCCUUGUGAUGCCUGCUGCUCCUCCUCACGUUCGCAGUUCCUUGUUGAUGUGGUAGGCACUCCCUUCGGACCUUCGCCUCUGCUUUAUUUGCCUCGACGACCUUCGAUGUCACCGGCCUAUAGACCCGGUCUCCGGCCUGUAGGCCGCGUACGCGGCUUCUCGAAGUCAUCGGCCUGUAGGCCGGCUGGGGGCCUGUAGGCCGCGGACAGUUGUCCGGCCUGUAGGCCAUAGCGGGGCCUUUAGGUCUGUUGCCGAUAGGUAUCUUCUCGUUUUGCCGGACAAGAUCCAGCCUGUAGGCCGGUCACGGGGCCUGUAGGCCACAGAGUGCUUGCCGGCCUGUAGGCCGGGGGUCGGGCCUGUAGGCCGCGGAUGGACGCGCAUCUCAACCCGGUCUCCGGGUACAUAGAGAAAGGGUGAAUGGGGAAGCACCGAAUCUGAUAUAUAUGAUGGGGAGGAGGAUCAAUCCCAAUCGCAACCAAAUCGAGUAAACUCUCUAUCUCGAUACGAGUAGGUAUAGCCUAGAGGAGGCACGCUCUCUGGCACCGGAGAAGCCCCUUCUAGGGAAACCUAAGUUCGGGGGAAAGAUUCCCUUCCAGGGGGGCACCUAAGUUCUGGAGGAGUGCCUCUUCUUGGCCGAUGGAUACAUAGCAGGGAUCAACUAACACCUAGCAC